CCCUUAGAUGUUCUGGGCCGCACGCGCGCUACACCGAUUCAUGCAACAAGUUUUGUCCUUGGCUGAUAGGCCUGGGUAAUCUUUGAACGUGAAUCGUGAUGGGGAUAGAUGAUUGCAAUUAUUCAUCUUCAACGAGGAAUUCCUAGUAAACGCAAGUCAUCAGCUUGCAUUGAUUACGUCCCUGCCCUUUGUACACACCGCCCGUCGCACCUACCGAUUGAAUGGUCCGGUGAAAUCUUCGGAUCUGAGAGAUGUCUGAUUAAUUUCGGACGCCUUUUGGAAAAGUUGUUUAAACCUUACCAUUUAGAGGAAGGUGAAGUCGUAACA
This 327-nucleotide ribosomal RNA is filed under the name uncultured eukaryote. RNAcentral's name for it is "partial 18S ribosomal RNA". It matches the Rfam family "Eukaryotic small subunit ribosomal RNA", at positions 1470 to 1796 of the family's 1831-position model. The record is from RNAcentral.